This 547-nucleotide ribosomal RNA is filed under the name uncultured bacterium. RNAcentral's name for it is "bacterial SSU rRNA". It matches the Rfam family "Bacterial small subunit ribosomal RNA", at positions 355 to 896 of the family's 1533-position model. The record is from RNAcentral.
UGGGGAAUAUUGCGCAAUGGGGAGAACCCUGACGCAGCCAUGCCGCGUGAAUGAAGAAGGCCUUCGGGUUGUAAAGUUCUUUCGGUAUUGAGGAAGGUUGAUGUGUUAAUAGCACAUCAAAUUGACGUUAAAUACAGAAGAAGCACCGGCUAACUCCGUGCCAGCAGCCGCGGUAAUACGGAGGGUGCGAGCGUUAAUCGGAAUAACUGGGCGUAAAGGGCACGCAGGCGGUUAUUUAAGUGAGGUGUGAAAGCCCUGGGCUUAACCUAGGAAUUGCAUUUCAGACUGGGUAACUAGAGUACUUUAGGGAGGGGUAGAAUUCCACGUGUAGCGGUGAAAUGCGUAGAGAUGUGGAGGAAUACCGAAGGCGAAGGCAGCCCCUUGGGAAUGUACUGACGCUCAUGUGCGAAAGCGUGGGGAGCAAACAGGAUUAGAUACCCUGGUAGUCCACGCUGUAAACGCUGUCGAUUUGGGGAUUGGGCUUAGAGCUUGGUGCCCGUAGCUAACGUGAUAAAUCGACCGCCUGGGGAGUACGGCCGCAAGGUUA